UGUCUGGGGGCAGCGCUGAUCUGCCUAGAAGUUGAGACGCUCUUAACGCAGACGCGCAGCGAGAUUUGCUGAAAUUCAUCUGCUCGCCGCACCAGACUGGACUCAAACACUUCAACUGCGAGGAGAGAGGAAGAGAAGGUGUUCAGAUCUCUCACAGCCUGCUACAGAAGAGCGAUGGAUUCGCGGAGAAUCGCAGCUUUGCUCCUUGCUGCCUGCCUCAGCGCGUCAGCUUCAGACCAGUUCGACACGGAGGUGGUUACCUGAGAGUGCUUCUUCUAAUUUAGCAAGAGAAAUACCCACAUCAGAGACUGUCGUUUCAGAGGGCACUGCAUGGCAUUCCUUUGGUCCCUACAUUUCCCAGAAAUCCUUCCACCCAUUUCCUGCCAGCAUAUCCUCACAUUUACACACAACAGGCUGUAAUUACCCACCCAGCUGAUCCGAUCCAGAACCAACCACCGAGAAACAUGGAACACA
This 474-nucleotide long non-coding RNA is filed under the name Sinocyclocheilus anshuiensis. Its description in RNAcentral is "lncRNA (ENSSANG00000030728.1)". Lineage: Eukaryota; Metazoa; Chordata; Actinopteri; Cypriniformes; Cyprinidae. The record is from RNAcentral.